AAUGAACGCUGGCGGCAUGCCUAAUACAUGCAAGUCGAACGAACGCACAAGAAGAUCUUUCUCCUAAGGUUGGCGGCUGACGGACGGGUGACAAAUGCAUAAGAAUCUUCUUAUUCGGGGAGGAUAACGGAAGAACACUUCUGCUAAUACAGCAUACUAUCUACGGCAUAAAUCAAAAGAUCAAGACAGCCUUCGCGACUGAAAUAGCCGGCGCCGCAUUAGCUAGUUGGCAAGGUAACGGCUUACCAAGGCAACGAUGCAUAGCCGACCUGAGAGGGUGAUCGGCCACACUGGAACUGAGACACGGUCCAGACCCCUACGGGAGGCAGCAGUAGGGAAUCUUCCGCAAUGGGCGAAAGCCUGACGGAGCAACGCCGCGUGAGUGAUGAAGGUCUUCGGAUCGUAAAACUCUGUUAUUAGGGAAGAACAUAUGUGUAAGUAACUGUGCACAUCUUGACGGUACCUAAUCAGAAAGCCACGGCUAACUACGUG
Molecule: ribosomal RNA, 492 nt
Filed under: uncultured bacterium
Lineage: Bacteria
Description: partial 16S ribosomal RNA
Rfam family: Bacterial small subunit ribosomal RNA
Source: RNAcentral